CAUGGGCAAUUUUGAAUCAAGGGGGAGUGUUGAAGACUGAUUCAAACUUUGACAGCAUAUUUUUCGGAAGGCUUAUCUCUUUGUUAGUUGGUUUCUAGGCGAAACUUAUCUCUUUACUAGUUUGUUUCUAGACAGGACUUAUCUCUUAGUUUUCUGGUUUAUGGUUCUUAUCUGGUUGUUUAGUGUUUCCGCUGGUUGUAAGCCUAUAAAGAGGCAUUAUCUGUUAUGAAGUUGGUGUGCUGAAAAAUAUCCUCUGUUUUCCUCUGUUUCCAGAAAAUAAAACAAGUCUUCCAUUCAUAUUUGUUAUCUAUCACUCCUUCUUCCCAACAAU
This 331-nucleotide long non-coding RNA is filed under the name Phoenix dactylifera (date palm). Its description in RNAcentral is "long non-coding RNA (PDAC_LNC021648)". The record is from RNAcentral. Lineage: Eukaryota; Viridiplantae; Streptophyta; Magnoliopsida; Arecales; Arecaceae.